AUGUCGGAUUUCAUAGCUUGGAGCUUUACAAAGAAUGGACUGUUCACAGUUCGUUCUGCUUAUCUAGAGGAAUGGAAAGCCCAACAUGGGAGGAAAUUGCAACACUCAUAUGGCAUUGGAGGAAUAAGUGUCAAUACUAUUUGGAGCAAGAUUUGGAAAUUAUCUUGUCCAGCAAAAGUGAAGAUCUUUAUUUGGCGUACCUUACAUGGAACCCUCCCGUGUCGUGUUACACUUGCUAAUAGACAUAUGAAUGUUUCGCCCACCUUCCCAUCAUGUUUGAACGGGCAUGAAGAUACUAAACACUUAUUAUUUUUAUGUCAAAAGGCAAAAAAGGUGUGGGAGCAACUGGGAUUGCACGAAGCCAUUAAAAAAGCCUGUGCGGUCGAUCGUGCGGGAGAGGCAGUACUUGAAUUUCUAAUUUUUAUGCCAGAACAUGAGCUAUCUACAUUGGGCAUAUAGAAUGUUCGCGAACUGAUCGCUAUAACAGCCUGUUAUUUAUGG
This 501-nucleotide ribosomal RNA is filed under the name Triticum aestivum (bread wheat). Its description in RNAcentral is "partial small subunit ribosomal RNA". The record is from RNAcentral. Lineage: Eukaryota; Viridiplantae; Streptophyta; Magnoliopsida; Poales; Poaceae.